CCUGGUUCAGAGCGAACGCUGGCGGCAGGCCUAACACAUGCAAGUCGAACGGACCCUUCGGGGUUAGUGGCGGACGGGUGAGUAACACGUGGGAACGUGCCUUUAGGUUCGGAAUAGCUCCUGGAAACGGGUGGUAAUGCCGAAUGUGCCCUUCGGGGGAAAGAUUUAUCGCCUUUAGAGCGGCCCGCGUCUGAUUAGCUAGUUGGUGAGGUAAUGGCUCACCAAGGCGACGAUCAGUAGCUGGUCUGAGAGGAUGACCAGCCACAUUGGGACUGAGACACGGCCCAAACUCCUACGGGAGGCAGCAGUGGGGAAUCUUGCGCAAUGGGCGAAAGCUUGACGCAGCCAUGCCGCGUGAAUGAUGGAGGUCUUAGGAUUGUAAAAUUCUUUCACCGGGGACGAUAAUGACGGUACCCGGAGAAGAAGCCCCGGCUAACUUCGUGCCAGCAGCCGCGGUAAUACGAAGGGGGCUAGCGUUGCUCGGAAUUACUGGGCGUAAAGGGCGCGUAGGCGGACAUUUAAGUCAGGGGUGAAAUCCCAGAGCUCA
RNAcentral lists this ribosomal RNA (547 nucleotides) under uncultured Brevundimonas sp. RNAcentral's name for it is "bacterial SSU rRNA". It matches the Rfam family "Bacterial small subunit ribosomal RNA", at positions 18 to 611 of the family's 1533-position model. Lineage: Bacteria; Pseudomonadati; Pseudomonadota; Alphaproteobacteria; Caulobacterales; Caulobacteraceae. The record is from RNAcentral.